Molecule: transfer RNA, 65 nt
Filed under: Pachyhynobius shangchengensis (Shangcheng stout salamander)
Lineage: Eukaryota; Metazoa; Chordata; Amphibia; Caudata; Hynobiidae
Description: tRNA-Cys
Source: RNAcentral
AGUCUUGUGGUGUACAACACGUAAAAUUGCAAAUUUUAAAAUGAAAUUAAUUUUUUCCAGGGCUU